UUUCCGUAGGUGAACCUGCGGAAGGAUCAUUAUCCAUCUUCAACCAGGUGCGGUCGCGGCCUCCAGGUGAUAACCUGGGUGGUUUCGCGCCGCAUUCCUGCACCCUUUUUUUACGAGCACCUUUGUUCUCCUUCGGCGGGGCAACCUGCCGCUGGAACUUAAUAAAACCUUUUUUUGCAUCUAGCAUUACCUGUUCUGAUACAAAUAAUCGUUACAACUUUCAACAAUGGAUCUCUUGGCUCUGGCAUCGAUGAAGAACGCAGC
Molecule: unclassified non-coding RNA, 264 nt
Filed under: uncultured fungus
Lineage: Eukaryota; Fungi
Description: sequence contains ITS1, 5.8S rRNA gene
Rfam family: 5.8S ribosomal RNA (bases 216-264)
Source: RNAcentral